AGGAAAAGAAACCAACAGGGAUUGCCCUAGUAACGGCGAGUGAAGCGGCAACAGCUCAAAUUUGAAAUCUGGCGCAAGCCCGAGUUGUAAUUUGUAGAGGAUGCUUCUAGGUAGCGACCGGUCUAAGUUCCUUGGAACAGGACGUCAUAGAGGGUGAGAAUCCCGUAUGUGACCGGCCCGCACCUUCUACGUAGCUCCUUCGACGAGUCGAGUUGUUUGGGAAUGCAGCUCUAAAUGGGAGGUAAAUUUCUUCUAAAGCUAAAUACCGGCCAGAGACCGAUAGCGCACAAGUAGAGUGAUCGAAAGAUGAAAAGCACUUUGGAAAGAGAGUUAAAAAGCACGUGAAAUUGUUGAAAGGGAAGCGCUUACAACCAGACUUCUGGGCGGUGUUCCGCCGGUCUUCUGACCGGUCUACUCGCCGUCCCGAGGCCAACAUCAUCUGGGACCGCUGGAUAAGACCUCAGGAAUGUAGCUUCCCUCGGGAAGUGUUAUAGCCUGUGGUGAUGCAGCGCGUCUCGGGUGAGGUCCGCGCUUCGGCAAGGAUGUUGGCGUAAUGGUUGUCAGCGGCCCGUCUUGAAACACGGACCAAGGAGUCUAACAUCUAUGCGAGUGUUCGGGUGUCAAACCCCUACGCGUAAUGAAAGUGAACGGAGGUGGGAAGCGCAAGCUGCACCAUCGACCGAUCCUGAUGUCCUCGGAUGGAUUUGAGUAAGAGCAUAGCUGUUGGGACCCGAAAGAUGGUGAACUAUGCCUGAAUAGGGUGAAGCCAGAGGAAACUCUGGUGGAGGCUCGCAGCGGUUCUGACGUGCAAAUCGAUCGUCAAAUUUGGGUAUAGGGGCGAAAGACUAAUC
Molecule: ribosomal RNA, 851 nt
Filed under: Ramularia urticae
Lineage: Eukaryota; Fungi; Ascomycota; Dothideomycetes; Mycosphaerellales; Mycosphaerellaceae
Description: eukaryotic LSU rRNA
Rfam family: Eukaryotic large subunit ribosomal RNA
Source: RNAcentral